UACGUAGGGUGCGAGCGUUAAUCGGAAUUACUGGGCGUAAAGCGUGCGCAGGCGGUUUUAUAAGCCAGAUGUGAAAGCCCCGGGCUCAACCUGGGAAUGGCAUUUGGGACUGUAAGGCUGGAGUAUGGCAGAGGGGACUAGAAUUCCUGGUGUAGCAGUGAAAUGCGUAGAUAUCUGGAGGAACACCGGUGGCGAAGGCGGCAUCCUGGACCGGCAUUGACGCUGAGGCGCGAAAGCCAGGGGAGCAAACGGG
This 253-nucleotide ribosomal RNA is filed under the name uncultured bacterium. Its description in RNAcentral is "partial 16S ribosomal RNA". It matches the Rfam family "Bacterial small subunit ribosomal RNA", at positions 524 to 776 of the family's 1533-position model. The record is from RNAcentral.